UAAAAAAAAUCACCUUGUCAGCAAUGUCAAGGUAGGUAGCUACAUAGUUGAUGAUAGCUACGGUUAAUUAUUCUAAAGUCAUGGUGAGUAGAGACAUCAUGUCAAUAGGUACCAGUCAUGGUGAGUAGAGACAUCAUGUCAAUAGGUACCAGUCAUGGUGAGUAGAGACAUCAUGUCAAUAGGUACCAGUCAUGGUGAGUAGAGACAUCAUGUCAAUAGGUACCAGUCAUGGUGAGUAGAGACAUCAUGUCAAUAGGUACCAGUCAUGGUGAGUAGAGACAUCAUGUCAAUAGGUACCAGUCAUGGUGAGUAGAGACAUCAUGUCAAUAGGUACCAGUCAUGGUGAGUAGAGACAUCAUGUCAAUAGGUACCAGUCAUGGUGAGUAGAGACAUCAUGUCAAUAGGUACCAGUCAUGGUGAGUAGAGACAUCAUGCCAAUAGGUACCAGUCAUGGUGAGUAGAGACAUCAUGUCAAUAGGUACCAGUCAUGGUGAGUAGAGACAUGUCAAUAGGUACCAGUCAUGGUGAGUAGAGACAUCAUGUCAAUAGGUACCAGUCAUGGUGAGUAGAGACAUCAUGUCAAUAGGUACCAGUCAUGGUGAGUAGAGACAUCAUGUCAAUAGGUACCAGUCAUGGUGAGUAGAGACAUCAUGUCAAUAGGUACCAGUCAUGGUGAGUAGAGACAUCAUGUCAAUAGGUACCAGUCAUGGUGAGUAGAGACAUCAUGUCAAUAGGUACCAGUCAUGGUGAGUAGAGACAUCAUGUCAAUAGGUACCAGUCAUGGUGAGUAGAGACAUCAUGUCAAUAGGUACCAGUCAUGGUGAGUAGAGACAUCAUGUCAAUAGGUACCAGUCAUGGUGAGUAGAGACAUCAUGUCAAUAGGUACCAGUCAUGGUGAGUAGAGACAUCAUGUCAAUAGGUACCAGUCAUGGUGAGUAGAGACAUCAUGUCAAUAGGUACCAGUCAUGGUGAGUAGAGACAUCAUGUCAAUAGGUACCAGUCAUGGUGAGUAGAGACAUCAUGUCAAUAGGUACCAGUCAUGGUGAGUAGAGACAUCAUGUCAAUAGGUACCAGUCAUGGUGAGUAGAGACAUCAUGUCAAUAGGUACCAGUCAUGGUGAGUAGAGACAUCAUGUCAAUAGGUACC
Molecule: long non-coding RNA, 1146 nt
Organism: Oncorhynchus keta (chum salmon)
Lineage: Eukaryota; Metazoa; Chordata; Actinopteri; Salmoniformes; Salmonidae
Exons: 3
Source: RefSeq, a predicted model, not a curated record